RNAcentral lists this ribosomal RNA (253 nucleotides) under uncultured bacterium. RNAcentral's name for it is "partial 16S ribosomal RNA". It matches the Rfam family "Bacterial small subunit ribosomal RNA", at positions 524 to 776 of the family's 1533-position model. The record is from RNAcentral.
UAAGUAGGGUGCAAGCGUUAAUCGGAAUUACUGGGCGUAAAGCGUACGCAGGCGGCUAUGUAAGACAGGUGUGAAAUCCCCGGGCCUAACCUGGGAACUGCAUUUGUGACUGCAUGGCUAGAGUUUGUCAGAGGGGGGUGGAAUUCCACGUGUAGCAGUGAAAUGCGUAGAGAUGUGGAGGAACACCGAUGGCGAAGGCAGCCCCCUGGGAUGUGACUGACGCUCAUGUACGAAAGCGUGGGGAGCAAACAGG